UGAACGCUGGCGGCAUGCCUAACACAUGCAAGUCGAACGGCAGCAUGAGUAGAGCUUGCUCUACUUGAUGGCGAGUGGCGGACGGGUGAGUAAUAUGUAGGAAUCUACCUAGAGGAGGGGGAUAACUUAGGGAAACUUAAGCUAAUACCACAUAAGCCCUACGGGGGAAAGCAGGGGAUCGUAAGACCUUGCGCCUUAUGAUGAGCCUACAUCGGAUUAGCUUGUUGGUGGGGUAAAGGCCUACCAAGGCGAUGAUCCGUAGCUGGUCUGAGAGGAUGACCAGCCACACUGGGACUGAGACGCGGCCCAGACUCCUACGGGAGGCAGCAGUGGGGAAUAUUGGACAAUGGGGGCAACCCUGAUCCAGCAAUGCCGCGUGUGUGAAGAAGGCCUUAGGGUUGUAAAGCACUUUCAGUAGGGAGGAAGGGUUUAAUGCUAAUAUCAUUGAACAUUGACGUUACCUACAGAAGAAGCACCGGCUAACUCUGUGCCAGCAGCCGCGGUAAUACAGAGGGUGCGAGCGUUAAUCGGAAUUACUGGGCGUAAAGGGUGUGUAGGUGGUUGUGUAAGUUAGAUGUGAAAUCCCUGGGCUCAACCUGGGAACUGCGUUUAAAACUGCAUAGCUAGAGUACUGUAGAGGAUAGUGGAAUUUCCAGUGUAGCGGUGAAAUGCGUAGAGAUCUGGAGGAAUACCGAUGGCGAAGGCAGCCUUCUGGCCUAAUACUGACGCUGAGGUGCGAAAGCAUGGGGAGCAAACAGGAUUAGAUACCCUGGUAGUCCAUGCCGUAAACGAUGUCAACUAGCCGUUGGGCCCCUUGAGGGCUUAGUGGCGCAGCUAACGCGAUAAGUGACC
This 852-nucleotide ribosomal RNA is filed under the name uncultured bacterium. Its description in RNAcentral is "bacterial SSU rRNA". It matches the Rfam family "Bacterial small subunit ribosomal RNA", at positions 30 to 870 of the family's 1533-position model. The record is from RNAcentral.